UUGUAUUUGUGUGAUUAAAGU
This 21-nucleotide microRNA is filed under the name Mus musculus (house mouse). RNAcentral describes it as "mmu-miR-6951-5p". Lineage: Eukaryota; Metazoa; Chordata; Mammalia; Rodentia; Muridae. The record is from miRBase by way of RNAcentral.